Neofelis nebulosa (Clouded leopard) is the source of this 920-nucleotide long non-coding RNA. RefSeq lists it as uncharacterized. The transcript has 2 exons. The record is from RefSeq and is a predicted model, not a curated record. NCBI's taxonomy places the organism in Eukaryota, Metazoa, Chordata, Mammalia, Carnivora, Felidae.
GGCGCUCAGAACGUGACAGUCGUCUGUAUUAAUAGUAACUGGAGGCAUUGUGGAAGGGGGGAGUCCAGGCCCCAGGGGAGAAGCAGCAGAUCCCUGGAGAAGUAGAGGGUGAGGCCCCUGAAAGAGGAUUUGGGUGGGCCAGGGUCAGGGACAGAUUUCUUGGCUACCCUAUGCCCUCCUUUCUCCUGCCCCCACCCCAUGUGUGAGCAGGGAGUAUUCAGGACAGGCUUCCUGGAGGAGGUGACAUCUGAACCCUGAGAGGUGAAUGGAUGGUGGCAUUAAGUGGAGUCAGAGUCCAGAGGGCAGACCCAGGUGGAAGAUGCUGUACUAUCUGAAGAUGAAGAAAGGGGCCAUGAGCCAAGGAACGCAGAUGCUUCUAGAAGCCGGAAACACCUUCUCCCCAGGAGCUUCCAGAAGGAAAAUGUGGCCCUGUGGACACCUGGAUUUCAGCCCAGUGAGACCCGUUUUGGACUUCUGACCUCCAGAACUGUCAGAUAACUGUGUGUUCUUUUAAGCCACCAAGUGAGUGCUGACUCGUCACGGCAGCGAUAGGAGACUCAGACCCCCAGCCUCCUGCCCAGAGUCCUGCUUGUGCUCUCAGAACCAACACCCCCCCACACACACACACACAUCUGGACUCAGUUUCCAAAUCAGCAGUCUGGGGCCCCAUCCAGGUCAGACCCACAACCCCUGCAGCAUGCACCCUAUCACCCACCCCUCCAGACCUCUGGGGCCCCUCUGGGGGUCUCCAGGGCUGCUGCUCCCUUGUUCCAGCAGGGUGGGGACUGAAAUCCCACAAGUCUGUCUGUCACUGCCUCUCUGUGUCUGGCUGUCCUCCCUGGCCUAGCCUUUGCCAAACAAGACCUCUGUCCUCAGUGGGGGGCUCCUCUCCCCAAAGGCAGGAGCCCCCAGUUCAGACA